UCUUCCGAUCAUGUGUCCCAAGUAGCGCGGGCCUCGUGGAAUCCCGUGUGAAUCGGCCCCGACCGUGGGGUAAGUCUAAGCAUACCUGUCUGACCGAUAGCGUACCAGUACCGUGAGGGAAAGGUGAAAAGCACCCCGGGAGGGGAGUGAAAGAGUUCCUGAAACCGUGCGCCUACAAUCCGUCGGAGCCUCCUUGUGGGGUGACGGCGUGCCUAUCGAAAAAUGAGUCUGCGAGUCAGUGGUGCGUGGCGAGGCUAACCCGUGGUGGGGGAGCCGUAGCGAAGGCGAGUCUCAAAAGGCGUUUUGAGUCGCGCGCCCUGGACCCGAAGCGGGAUGAUCUAGCCCUGGGCAGGUUGAAGCGCGGGUAAGACCGCGUGGAGGACCGAACCCACCUGGGUUGAAAACCGGGGGGAUGACCUGGGGCUAGGGGUGAAAGGCCAAUCAAAUUCCGUGAUAGCUGGUUCUCUCCGAAAUGCAUUUAGGUGCAGCGUCGGUUGAUUGCAUCGCGGGGGUAGAGCUACUGGAUGCUUGCGGGCCCGUGUCGGGUACCAAUAGCAGCCAAACUCCGAAUACCGUGGAUGUGUAUUCCGGCAGUGAGUCGGCGGGGGAUAAGCUCCGUCGUCGAGAGGGAGACAGCCCAGAUCGUCGUCUAAGGUCCCGAAGCGUGUGCUAAGUGGGAAAGGAUGUGGAGUCGCAUAGACAGCCAGGAGGUUGGCUCAGAAGCAGCCAUCCUUGAAAGAGUGCGUAACAGCUCACUGGUCUAGUGGUUCCGCGCCGACAAUGUAGCGGGGCUCAAGCACACCACCGAAGACGCGGCAGCGGCCUUUGCGGCCGUUGGGUAGGAGAGCGUCCCGCGUGGGGCGAAGCGGCCGGGGAACCGUGCCGUGGACCGCGCGGGAGUGAGAAUGCAGACAUGAGUAGCGAGAGACGGGUGAGGAUCCCGUCCGCUGGAUGACCAAGGGUUCCGGGGCCACGUUCGUCGUCCCCGGGUGAGUCGGGUCCUAAGGCGAGGCCGACAGGCGUAGUCGAAUGGAUGAACGGGUGGAUAUUCCCGUACCGGCGGCGUACCGUAAGAGCCGAACGGAUGAGUACUAACCUCCGGUCGCGUGGCGUCGUUCCCUUCGGGGUUCGGGGUCCGCGGUCGUUGGGAGCGUAGUCCCGGUAGGCUAGCGCACAGGGGUGACACGGAAUGGGAGCCGGCCGCGGAGGUGGUUUUCCGUGGUCAAGCACGCAGCCCGUCCCAUAGGCAAAUCCGUGGGACGCAUAGGGUGAGGUGUGAUGAUGGGCGUCCUUUGGACGCGAUAUCCGGUGGUCCAGGCCGUCGAGAAAAGCCUCGGCGCGAGGGGCGUCGCCGCCCGUACCCCAAACCGACACUGGUGGUCAGGUAGAGAAUACCAAGGCGAUCGAGCGAAUCCUGGUCAAGGAACUCGGCAAAUCACUCCCGUGCCUUCGGUAUAAGGGAGACCCCCGGGCGUGAAGAGGCUUGCCCUCGGAGCGUUGGGGGGUGGCACAGACCAGGGGGUAGCGACUGUUUACCAAAAACACAGGUGCAUGCGAAGGCGCAAGCCGCUGUAUAUGCACUGACGCCUGCCCGGUGCCGGAAGGUUAAGAGGAUCCGUCAGCCCCUUUUGGGGUGAAGCGGUGAAUUCAAGCCCCGGUAAACGGCGGUGGUAACUAUAACCAUCCUAAGGUAGCGAAAUUCCUUGUCGGGUAAGUUCCGACCUGCACGAAUGGCGUAACGACUUCCCCACUGUCUCGACCAGGAGCUCGGCGAAAUUGCAGUACGAGUAAAGAUGCUCGUUAAGCGCAGAAGGACGAAAAGACCCCGGGACCUUUACUAUACCUUGGUAUUGGCGUUAGGCGCGGAUUGUGUAGCAUAGGCGGGAGGCUUCGAAGCAUGGGCGCCAGCCCGUGUGGAGCCGCAAGGUGAAAUACCGCUCUGUUCUCGUUUGACGUCUCACCUCGAACAGUCAUCCUGUUCAGGGACAGUGCCUGGCGGGUAGUUUAACUGGGGCGGUUGCCUCCCAAAGAGUAACGGAGGCGCUCAAAGGUCCGCUCAGCCCGGUUGGCAAUCGGGUUUCGAGUGUAAUCGCACAAGCGGGCUUGACUGCGAGAACGACGGUUCGGGCAGGGACGAAAGUCGGAGAUAGUGAUCCGGUGCCGGCGCACGGGCGCGGCAUCGCUCAACGGAUAAAAGGUACCCCGGGGAUAACAGGCUGAUCAUUCCCAAGAGUCCAUAUCGACGGGAUGGUUUGGCACCUCGAUGUCGGCUCGUCGCAUCCUGGGGCUGGAGCAGGUCCCAAGGGUUCGGCUGUUCGCCGAUUAAAGCGGCACGCGAGCUGGGUUCAGAACGUCGUGAGACAG
This 2364-nucleotide ribosomal RNA is filed under the name human gut metagenome. Its description in RNAcentral is "bacterial LSU rRNA". It matches the Rfam family "Bacterial large subunit ribosomal RNA", at positions 391 to 2629 of the family's 2925-position model. The record is from RNAcentral.